This 1812-nucleotide ribosomal RNA is filed under the name Peltula auriculata. Its description in RNAcentral is "LSU rRNA". It matches the Rfam family "Eukaryotic large subunit ribosomal RNA", at positions 37 to 1451 of the family's 3401-position model. The record is from RNAcentral. Lineage: Eukaryota; Fungi; Ascomycota; Lichinomycetes; Lichinales; Phylliscaceae.
AGCAUAUCAAUAAGCGGAGGAAAAGAAACCAACAGGGAUUGCCUCAGUAACGGCGAGUGAAGCGGCAGCAGCUCAGAUUUGGAAUCUGGCCCCGUGGUGGGGCCCGAGUUGUAGUCUGUAGAGGAUGCUUCGGGGGCCGACCGGGCCCAAGUUCCUUGGAACAGGACGUCAGAGAGGGUGAGAGUCCCGUCUGUGGCCCGGAUCCUCGCCCCUGGGUGAAGCUCCCUCGACGAGUCGAGUUGUUUGGGAAUGCAGCUCAAACCGGGUGGUAAAUCUCAUCUAAAGCUAAAUACCGGCUGGAGACCGAUAGCGCACAAGUAGAGUGAUCGAAAGAUGAAAAGCACUUUGAAAAGAGAGUUAAACAGCACGUGAAAUUGUUGAAAGGGAAGCGCUCGCGAUCAGACCUGCCUGCGGUUCCUCAGCCGACGGACUUCCCCGCCGGCGCAUUGGGCCGUGGGCAGGCCAGCAUCGGCUUGGGCGGCGGAAGAAGGACCCUCGGGAUGUGGCUCCCUUCGGGGAGCGUUAUAGCCGGGGGUGUGACGCCGCCGCCUGGACCGAGGCCCGCGCUCCGGCAAGGAUGCUGGCGUAAUGGUCGCCAGCGACCCGUCUUGAAACACGGACCAAGGAGUCUAACAUCCACGCGAGUGUUUGGGUGUCAAACCCCCGACGCGUAAUGAAAGUGAACGGAGGUGGGAACCCGCAGGGGAUGCACCAUCGACCGAUCCUGAAGUUCACGGAUGGAUUUGAGUACGAGCGUGGCUGUUGGGACCCGAAAGAUGGUGAACUAUGCCUGAAUAGGGUGAAGCCAGAGGAAACUCUGGUGGAGGCUCGCAGCGGUUCUGACGUGCAAAUCGAUCGUCAAAUUUGGGUAUAGGGGCGAAAGACUAAUCGAACCAUCGCCUGCUAGGUGGUCGAGAGGUGGGGACGAUGGACCUCCGCCUAGUCCCCCGCUCACGGGGCGAUGCUGUCAAAUUGCGGGGACACCCUUAGAGCUCAACCGAAGCCUGGCUGGACCGUAAGGCCAGCCCGGCGUGCGAGAGGGCCAGGUUGGGAUUGGGCGAUCCGCAGCCAAGCCCCACAGGCGUCCGCGCCCCGGGGAGAGGUUCACAGACUAGAUGGCAGUGGGUUGGACCGACGAAGGUCAGCCUAAGGUAUAGUCGGACCGCCGGGAGACCGGCCGGGGAGGUGUGAGCCAGCGGUGCUGAGCGUCUUGGGGCGCGCGCGCGCCCAAGGCCACCGCGGGUCUCGCGCCUCGUCGGGGGGUGGUGCGUCGACGCUGGCGGCCCCAUCCCUGGAGAAAGUCGCUAGUAGCUGGUUCCUGCCGAAGUUUCCCUCAGGAUAGCAGUAACGCGUGGCAGUUUUAUGAGGUAAAGCGAAUGAUUAGAGGCCUUGGGGUUGAAACAACCUUAACCUAUUCUCAAACUUUGAAUAUGUAAGAAGUCCUUGUUGCUUGGUUGAACGUGGACAUUCGAAUGUACCGUUACUAGUGGGCCAUUUUUGGUAAGCAGAACUGGCGAUGCGGGAUGAACCGGACGCGGGGUUAAGGUGCCGGAAUGCACGCUCAUCAGACACCACAAAAGGUGUUGGUUCAUCUAGACAGCAGGACGGUGGCCAUGGAAGUCGGAACCCGCUAAGGAGUGUGUAACAACUCACCUGCCGAAUGAACUAGCCCUGAAAAUGGAUGGCGCUCAAGCGUGCUACCCAUACCCCGCCGCCAGGGUAAGAACGAGGCCCUGGCGAGUAGGCAGGCGUGGGGGUCCGUGACGAAGCCUUGGGAGCGAUCCCGGGUCGAACGACCUCUAGUGCAGAUCU